CUUCUACUUCCUCCACCCGAAAUUACUUGUCGCGGAAAUGGAUUAAAAUGGAUGUAUCUAGAACUAAAAUAGGUAUAGAUACAUCCAUUUCUCUGACAAGUUACUCGGGGUGGAAGGAGUACAAU
This is a non-coding RNA of Triticum aestivum (bread wheat), 125 nucleotides long. Lineage: Eukaryota; Viridiplantae; Streptophyta; Magnoliopsida; Poales; Poaceae. The record is from Rfam.